AUUGAACGCUGGCGGCAUGCCUUACACAUGCAAGUCGAACGGCAGCACGGGGGGUAACCCCUGGUGGCGAGUGGCGAACGGGUGAGUAAUAUAUCGGAACGUGUCCUGUAGCGGGGGAUAACCUAUCGAAAGAUGGACUAAUACCGCAUACGACCUACGGGUGAAAGCGGAGGACCGCAAGGCUUCGCACUAUAGGAGCGGCCGAUAUCGGAUUAGCUAGUUGGCGGGGUAACGGCCCACCAAGGCGACGAUCCGUAGCUGGUCUGAGAGGACGGUCAGCCACACUGGAACUGAGACACGGUCCAGACUCCUACGGGAGGCAGCAGUGGGGAAUUUUGGACAAUGGGCGCAAGCCUGAUCCAGCCAUGCCGCGUGAGUGAAGAAGGCCUUCGGGUUGUAAAGCUCUUUCGGCGGGGACGAAACGGUUCGUGCUAAUACCACGGACUACUGACGGUACCCGCAGAAGAAGCACCGGCUAACUACGUG
Molecule: ribosomal RNA, 486 nt
Filed under: uncultured bacterium
Lineage: Bacteria
Description: partial 16S ribosomal RNA
Rfam family: Bacterial small subunit ribosomal RNA
Source: RNAcentral